CACGUGAGUAACCUGCCCUUAACUCUGGGAUAAGCCUGGGAAACUGGGUCUAAUACCGGAUAUGACUCCUCAUCGCAUGGUGGGGGGUGGAAAGCUUUAUUGUGGUUUUGGAUGGACUCGCGGCCUAUCAGCUUGUUGGUGAGGUAAUGGCUCACCAAGGCGACGACGGGUAGCCGGCCUGAGAGGGUGACCGGCCACACUGGGACUGAGACACGGCCCAGACUCCUACGGGAGGCAGCAGUGGGGAAUAUUGCACAAUGGGCGAAAGCCUGAUGCAGCGACGCCGCGUGAGGGAUGACGGCCUUCGGGUUGUAAACCUCUUUCAGUAGGGAAGAAGCGAAAGUGACGGUACCUGCAGAAGAAGCGCCGGCUAACUACGUGCCAGCAGCCGCGGUAAUACGUAGGGCGCAAGCGUUAUCCGGAAUUAUUGGGCGUAAAGAGCUCGUAGGCGGUUUGUCGCGUCUGCCGUGAAAGUCCGGGGCUCAACUCCGGAUCUGCGGUGGGUACGGGCAGACUAGAGUGAUGUAGGGGAGACUGGAAUUCCUGGUGUAGCGGUGAAAUGCGCAGAUAUCAGGAGGAACACCGAUGGCGAAGGCAGGUCUCUGGGCAUUAACUGACGCUGAGGAGCGAAAGCAUGGGGAGCGAACAGGAUUAGAUACCCUGGUAGUCCAUGCCGUAAACGUUGGGCACUAGGUGUGGGGGACAUUCCACGUUUUCCNCGCCGUAGCUAACGCAUUAAGUGCCCCGCCUGGGGAGUACGGCCGCAAGGCUAAAACUCAAAGGAAUUGACGGGGGCCCGCACAAGCGGCGGAGCAUGCGGAUUAAUUCGAUGCAACGCGAAGAACCUUACCAAGGCUUGACAUGAACCGGAAACACCUGGAAACAGGUGCCCCGCUUGCGGUCGGUUUACAGGUGGUGCAUGGUUGUCGUCAGCUCGUGUCGUGAGAUGUUGGGUUAAGUCCCGCAACGAGCGCAACCCUCGUUCUAUGUUGCCAGCGCGUUAUGGCGGGGACUCAUAGGAGACUGCCGGGGUCAACUCGGAGGAAGGUGGGGACGACGUCAAAUCAUCAUGCCCCUUAUGUCUUGGGCUUCACGCAUGCUACAAAGGCCGGUACAAAGGGUUGCGAUACUGUGAGGUGGACCUAAUCCCCAAAAAGCCGGUCUCAGUUCGGAUUGGGGUCUGCAACUCGACCCCAUGA
Molecule: ribosomal RNA, 1199 nt
Filed under: Arthrobacter sp. SO3-4b
Lineage: Bacteria; Bacillati; Actinomycetota; Actinomycetes; Micrococcales; Micrococcaceae
Description: bacterial SSU rRNA
Rfam family: Bacterial small subunit ribosomal RNA
Source: RNAcentral